This is a long non-coding RNA of Physeter macrocephalus (sperm whale), 586 nucleotides long. RefSeq lists it as uncharacterized. The record is from RefSeq and is a predicted model, not a curated record. Lineage: Eukaryota; Metazoa; Chordata; Mammalia; Artiodactyla; Physeteridae. The transcript has 3 exons.
GCAAAGAAGUGGGAGCAGAUUUCUGCCCUCAGGAAUUUAUCUCAGCUUUUCGUACAGGAGUAACAACCUUUAAACACGUGACCGUGUGCCAUCUUAGGUGUCACCUGGAAGAGCCAAGACCCCACUACUGGAAGAGAAUACACACUUCUUUCCAAGCACAUAAUCAAGGAAAACUCUCAGGCCACGGAUAUACCUUCAACUUGAGAUGAAAUUCAAGGAUGAGGACCCUUGCACUGGUAUGAGAUUGAACUAAACACCUAUAAAGCCACUUCCAAAUUUGAAACUCACUUUCUCAGGGCACCAGGUGGCAGCUCCAAGAAGAGGAAAAUCGUUUUCAGAGCUCCCUGCUGGCUCAAUCAACGCUUUUCAGUUCUCUUAAUGAGAUGGUUAAUCUCUUUUCUCAUUUAACCAAUUGGUCAACAAAACUUUGAUGGCUCUUACAGGAGUUGUUUUUGAUUUUCACUCAUACAAGUAUUAACGCCAUUGCUCUUAGAUUGACAAACGGGAAUUCAACUAAUCCUCCAGCUCUAGUUGGAAAUAUAUCCCCUUAUGGAUCUCUUACCCCAUACAUUCUGCUAAAUUCCUG